UGAAUACGAGAUGCUACGGCGUCGAAGCAGUCUAUGUCAUACUUCCAAGAAAAGCUUGCACUGUCAUAAACAAAUAAUGCCUGUACCAUAACCGACACAGGUGGGUAGGUAGAGUAUACUAAGGGGCGCGAGAUAACUCUCUCUAAGGAACUCGGCAAAAUGACUCCGUAACUUCGGGAGAAGGAGUGCCUUAUUUAUAAGGUUGCAAUAACAAGAUCCAAGCAACUGUUUACCAAAAACACAGGUCUCCGCUAAGUCGUAAGACGAUGUAUGGGGGCUGACGCCUGCCCAGUGCCAGAAGGUUAAAGAAGUUGGUUAGCAUCCGCGAAGCUGAUAACUGAAGCCCUGGUGAACGGCGGCCGUAACGAUAACGGUCCUAAGGUAGCGAAAUUCCUUGUCGGGUAAGUUCCGACCCGCACGAAAGGCGUAAUGAUUUGGAUACUGUCUCGGAGAGGGGCUCGGUGAAAUAGACUUGUCUGUGAAAAUGCGGACUACCUGCACCAGGACAGAAAGACCCUAUGAAGCUUUACUGUAACCUGAAAUUGAAAUUGGACUUUACUUGCGCAGUAUAGGUGGGAGGCGUUGAGAAUAUUCUUGCGGGAUUAUUGGAGCCAUCAGUGAGAUACCACUCUUGUAAUGUUAGAUUUCUAACUUUGUAUCAUUAUCUGGUCAAAGAACAGUUUCAGGCGGGCAGUUUGACUGGGGCGGUCGCCUCCUAAACGGUAACGGAGGCGCACAAAGGUUUCCUCUGAACGGGUAGAAAUCGUAUCUAGAGUGUAAAGGCAUAAGGAAGCUUGACUGUGAGACCUACAAGUCGAGCAGGGACGAAAGUCGGUCUUAGUGAUCUGACGGUGCUGAGUGGAAAGGCCGUCACUCAACGGAUAAAAGUUACUCUAGGAUAACAGGCUGAUCUCCCCCAAGAGUUCACAUCGACGGGGAGGUUUGGCACCUCGAUGUCGGCUCAUCGCAUCCUGGGGCGGUAGUACGUCCCAAGGGUUGGGCUGUUCGCCCAUGAAAGCGGUACGCGAGCUGGGUUCAGAACGUCGUGAGACAGUUCGGUCCAUAUCCGGUGUAGGCGUUAGAAUAUUGAGAGGAGCCUUCUUUAGUACGAGAGGACCGAGAAGGACAUACCUCUGGUGUACCAGUUAUCGUGCCAACGGUAAACGCUGGGUAGCUAUGUGUGGAGUGGAUAACCGCUGAAAGCAUCUAAGUGGGAAGCCCACCUCAAGAUAAGUAUUCUCA
RNAcentral lists this ribosomal RNA (1242 nucleotides) under metagenome. RNAcentral describes it as "bacterial LSU rRNA". It matches the Rfam family "Bacterial large subunit ribosomal RNA", at positions 1564 to 2816 of the family's 2925-position model. The record is from RNAcentral.